Molecule: ribosomal RNA, 305 nt
Filed under: uncultured bacterium
Lineage: Bacteria
Description: bacterial SSU rRNA
Rfam family: Bacterial small subunit ribosomal RNA
Source: RNAcentral
UCCUACGGGGGGCAGCAGUAGGGAAUUUUCGUCAAUGGGCGCAAGCCUGAACGAGCAAUGCCGCGUGAACGAGGAAGGUCUUCGGAUCGUAAAGUUCUGUUGAAGGGGAAAAGAGCGGAGAGAGGAAAUGAACUCCGAUUGAUAUUACCCUUCGAGGAAGUCACGGCUAACUACGUGCCAGCAGCCGCGGUAAUACGUAGGUGGCGAGCGUUAUCCGGAAUGAUUGGGCGUAAAGGGCGCGUAGGCGGCCUGCUAAGUCUGAAGUGAAAGGUACCGGCUCAACCGGUACAGGCUCUGGAAACUGG